AUGCCCUAAAUCUGAACCUCCAGAAAUCAUGUUAGUUAGUAAGUAGCCUUUAUACACUAAGUCUGUUGCAACAGGAUACCGUAUCCAUGCUUGGGAAUUAGGCAUCUCCCAAGGUAUAGACUUUAACCUUGUUCUAAGGCCGUACUUUUCUUUUGCAUUUUUAAGAAUUUGUAACGUCUCAUCUUUUGAAGGAGAAUCUACGAUAACUUUUUGGAAACGUCUUUCUAAUGCACCGUCCUUUUCAAAGUUCUUCCUAUAUUCAUCUAAUGUUGUCGCUCCGACACAUUGUAUUUCACCUCUCGCUAACGCUGGUUUGAAUAUAUUUGACGCAUCCAUUGUUCCUGAAGAAUUUCCGGCACCUACUAUUGUAUGGAUUUCAUCAAUAAAAACAAUAAUGUUUGGAUUGUUUUGCAAUUCUUCGAUGAUCACCUUCAUUCGUUCUUCAAAUUGACCACGGUAUUUGGUUCCGUGGUCAAUGUGAAUAACGGAGUGAAAUAGAUCCUGAAACCAUACGCUUACAAGCGGUCGGAGCCCUUUCGUGGGGUGACGGCGUGCCUUUUGCAUAAUGAGCCUACGAGUUACCGUUGCUGGCAAGGAUAAGUACUUAUGGUAUGGAUCCGUAGCGAAAGCGAGUCUGAAUAGGGCGCUAUAGUCAGUAAUGGUAGACGCGAAACCGUGUGAUCUACCCAUGGGCAGGAUGAAGCUGUGGUAACACAUAGUGGAGGUCCGAACCGGUUGACGUUGAAAAGUCUUCGGAUGACCUGUGGGUAGGGGUGAAAGGCCAAUCAAACUCGGAAAUAGCUCGUACUCCCCGAAAUGCAUUUAGGUGCAGCGCUGGGUAUAAGUUAUAUAGAGGUAGAGCUACUGAUUGGAUGCGGGGGCUUCACCGCCUACCAAUUCCUGACAAACUCCGAAUGCUAUAUAAUGUUUACCAGCAGUGAGGGCAUGGGUGCUAAGGUCCAUGUCCGAGAGGGAAAGAACCCAGACCAUCAGCUAAGGUCCCCAAAUGUAUGCUAAGUUGAAAAAACGAGGUUUGUCUGCCCAGACAGCUAGGAUGUUGGCUUGGAAGCAGCCAUUCAUUUAAAGAGUGCGUAACAGCUCACUAGUCGAGCGGACGAGCAUGGAUAAUAAUCGGGCAUAAGCAUACUACCGAAGCUAUGGAUUUGUAGUAAUACAAGUGGUAGGGGAGCAUUCUAAACUGGGUCGAAGGUGUGAUGUGAGUCAUGCUGGACUGUUUAGAAAAGAAAAUGUAGGCAUAAGUAACGAUAAUGCGGGCGAGAAACCCGCACACCGAAAAACUAAGGUUUCCGCAGCUAUGCUAAUCAGCUGCGGGUUAGUCGGGUCCUAAGGCGAACCCGAAAGGGACAGUCGAUGGCCAACGGGUUAAUAUUCCCGUACUACUUAUAAUUGUGAUGGAGAGACGCAGUGGUGAAAGUACCGCGAACUGACGGAAUAGUUCGUUAAAGCACUUAGCUAUAGGCCCGGUAGGCAAAUCCGCUGGGACUGGUGAAAUGCGAUAGUACUCAGAGUCUUCGGACAACGAGAUAGUGUACCUAAAGGCUGCCAAGAAAAUCUUCUAAACUUAGAUUAUAAGUACCCGUACCGUAAACCGACACAGGUAGUUGAGGAGAGAAUCCUAAGGUGCUCGAGAGAUUCAUGGCUAAGGAAUUAGGCAAAAUAGACCUGUAACUUCGGGAGAAAGGUCGCCAGCAGCAAUGCUGGCCGCAGUGAAGAGGUCCAGGCGACUGUUUAUCAAAAACACAGGGCUCUGCAAAAUCGUAAGAUGAAGUAUAGGGCCUGACACCUGCCCGGUGCUUGAAGGUUAAGUGGAGAUGUUAUCUUCGGAGAAGCAUUGAAAUGAAGCCCAAGUAAACGGCGGCCGUAACUAUAACGGUCCUAAGGUAGCGAAAUUCCUUGUCGGGUAAGUUCCGACCUGCACGAAUGGUGUAACGAUCUGGACACUGUCUCAGCCAUGAGCUCGGUGAAAUUGUAGUAUCGGUGAAGAUGCCGAUUACCCGCAGUGGGACGAAAAGACCCUGUGCACCUUUACUAUAGCUUAGUAUUGACCUUGGACACGUGAUGUGUAGGAUAGGUGGGAGACUGUGAAGUGGCGUCGCUAGGCGUUGUGGAGUCAUUGUUGAAAUACCACCCUUUGCUUGUCUGAGGCCUAACCCCGAAUCGGGGGACAUUGCUUGGUGGGUAGUUUGACUGGGGUGGUCGCCUCCAAAAGAGUAACGGAGGCUCCUAAAGGUACCCUCAGCACGCUUGGUAACCGUGCGUAGAGUGCAAUGGCAUAAGGGAGCUUGACUGAGAGACA
RNAcentral lists this ribosomal RNA (2317 nucleotides) under freshwater metagenome. RNAcentral describes it as "bacterial LSU rRNA". The stretch from base 441 to 2317 matches the Rfam family "Bacterial large subunit ribosomal RNA", at positions 1 to 2382 of the family's 2925-position model. The record is from RNAcentral.